CGUAACAAGGUCUCCGUAGGUGAACCUGCGGAGGGAUCAUUACACAAAUAUGAAGGCGGGCUGGAACCUCUCGGGGUUACAGCCUUGCUGAAUUAUUCACCCUUGUCUUUUGCGUACUUCUUGUUUCCUUGGUGGGUUCGCCCACCACUAGGACAAACAUAAACCUUUUGUAAUUGCAAUCAGCGUCAGUAACAAAUUAAUAAUUACAACUUUCAACAACGGAUCUCUUGGUUCUGGCAUCGAUGAAGAACGCAGCGAAAUGCGAUAAGUAGUGUGAAUUGCAGAAUUCAGUGAAUCAUCGAAUCUUUGAACGCACAUUGCGCCCUUUGGUAUUCCAAAGGGCAUGCCUGUUCGAGCGUCAUUUGUACCCUCAAGCUUUGCUUGGUGUUGGGCGUCUUGUCUCUAGCUUUGCUGGAGACUCGCCUUAAAGUAAUUGGCAGCCGGCCUACUGGUUUCGGAGCGCAGCACAAGUCGCACUCUCUAUCAGCAAAGGUCUAGCAUCCAUUAAGCCUUUUUUUCAACUUUUGACCUCGGAUGAGGUAGGGAUACCCGCUGAACUUAAGC
Molecule: ribosomal RNA, 564 nt
Filed under: uncultured fungus
Lineage: Eukaryota; Fungi
Description: eukaryotic LSU rRNA
Rfam family: 5.8S ribosomal RNA (bases 208-361)
Source: RNAcentral